ACUGAAGACACAGAAAUCCUCCUCAUCUAAAACAUGACUUUGAUCUGCAUCCUCAUCUGGACUCUCCUCUGCUGCUGCUUCACAGAGGUCAAAGGUCAGGUCACAGUGAGUCAGCAGCCAGAAGCAGUGAGAACUGGACUGGGAGAAACUGUCAACAUCAACUGUAGGAUGAGUCGAAAUGUUCAUGUUCACAGCAGCUCUUCCCCUUGUUUAGCCUGGUUCCAAAAGAAAUAUGGACAAACUCCUAAUCGGCUCAUGUACUAUGCCAGCACUCGAGAGUCAGGGACUCCAAGUCGUUUUACAGGCAGUGGAUCAAACUCUGACUUCACUCUGACCAUCAGUGGAGUUCAGGCCGAAGAUGCUGCAGUUUAUUAUUGUCAGAGUCAACACAACAUCAACAAUCAGUGGGUGUUCCCACAGUGA
Poeciliopsis prolifica (blackstripe livebearer) is the source of this 423-nucleotide non-coding RNA. NCBI's taxonomy places the organism in Eukaryota, Metazoa, Chordata, Actinopteri, Cyprinodontiformes, Poeciliidae. The record is from the annotation of a RefSeq genome assembly.